This 253-nucleotide ribosomal RNA is filed under the name uncultured bacterium. Its description in RNAcentral is "partial 16S ribosomal RNA". It matches the Rfam family "Bacterial small subunit ribosomal RNA", at positions 524 to 776 of the family's 1533-position model. The record is from RNAcentral.
UACGUAGGCAGCAAGCGUUGUUCGGAGUUACUGGGCGUAAAGGGUGCGUAGGCGGUUUUUUAAGUUUGGUGUGGAAUCUCCCGGCUCAACCGGGAGGGUGCGCCGAAUACUGAACGGCUAGAGUGCGGGAGAGGAGAGUGGAAUUCCUGGUGUAGCGGUGAAAUGCGUAGAUAUCAGGAGGAACACCGGUGGUGUAGACGGCUCUCUGGACCGUAACUGACGCUGAUGCGCGAAAGCUAGGGGAGCAAACAGG